This 292-nucleotide ribosomal RNA is filed under the name uncultured bacterium. Its description in RNAcentral is "partial 16S ribosomal RNA". It matches the Rfam family "Bacterial small subunit ribosomal RNA", at positions 505 to 796 of the family's 1533-position model. The record is from RNAcentral.
GUGCCAGCAGCCGCGGUAAUACGGAGGGUGCGAGCGUUGUCCGGAAUCACUGGGCGUAAAGGGCGCGUAGGUGGCGCGGUCAGCGUGUGGUGAAAGCUCGGGGCUCAACCCCGAGUCGGCCAUGCGAACUGCCGCGCUCGAGCACUGUAGAGGCAGAUGGAAUUCCGGGUGUAGCGGUGGAAUGCGUAGAGAUCCGGAAGAACACCGGUGGCGAAGGCGGUCUGCUGGGCAGUUGCUGACACUGAGGCGCGACAGCGUGGGGAGCAAACAGGAUUAGAAACCCUAGUAGUCC